Molecule: ribosomal RNA, 451 nt
Filed under: uncultured bacterium
Lineage: Bacteria
Description: partial 16S ribosomal RNA
Rfam family: Bacterial small subunit ribosomal RNA
Source: RNAcentral
GUGGGGAAUAUUGGACAAUGGGGGGAACCCUGAUCCAGCCAUGCCGCGUGUGUGAAGAAGGCCUUUUGGUUGUAAAGCACUUUAAGCGAGGAGGAGGCUACCGAGAUUAAUACUCUUGGAUAGUGGACGUUACUCGCAGAAUAAGCACCGGCUAACUCUGUGCCAGCAGCCGCGGUAAUACAGAGGGUGCAAGCGUUAAUCGGAUUUACUGGGCGUAAAGCGCGCGUAGGUGGCCAAUUAAGUCAAAUGUGAAAUCCCCGAGCUUAACGUGGGAAUUGCAUUCGAUACUGGUUGGCUAGAGUAUGGGAGAGGAUGGUAGAAUUCCAGGUGUAGCGGUGAAAUGCGUAGAGAUCUGGAGGAAUACCGAUGGCGAAGGCAGCCAUCUGGCCUAAUACUGACACUGAGGUGCGAAAGCAUGGGGAGCAAACAGGAUUAGAAACCCGGGUAGUCC